RNAcentral lists this ribosomal RNA (268 nucleotides) under uncultured bacterium. Its description in RNAcentral is "partial 16S ribosomal RNA". It matches the Rfam family "Bacterial small subunit ribosomal RNA", at positions 793 to 1055 of the family's 1533-position model. The record is from RNAcentral.
GUCCACGCUGUAAACGAUGAGCACUAGGUGUCGUGGGUAUUGACCCCCGCGGUGCAGCAGCUAACGCAUUAAGUGCUCCGCCUGGGGACUACGGCCGCAAGGUUAAAAACUCAAAAGGAAUUGACGGGGGCCCCGCACAAGCGGUGGAGCAUGUGGUUCAAUUCGACGCAACGCGAAGAACCUUACCUGGGCUAGACAACGGAGGACAGCUCCAGAGAUGGGGUCUUCCCUUCGGGGACCUCCGGUUCAGGUGCUGCAUGGCUGUCGU